Long non-coding RNA from Oncorhynchus tshawytscha (Chinook salmon), 846 nucleotides. RefSeq lists it as uncharacterized. The record is from RefSeq and is a predicted model, not a curated record. NCBI's taxonomy places the organism in Eukaryota, Metazoa, Chordata, Actinopteri, Salmoniformes, Salmonidae. The transcript has 3 exons.
GGUGGGAGGCGCUAGGUAGUUAAGCUUGCUUGCAGCUUGCCCAUUGAUCAGUAUGGACUGGGACUGCCACAACAGACAGACAGACAGACAGACAGACAGAGGACAACAGCUAUACUCUGUAGGCUACUGCAGAGAGAGCGAGAGAGAGAGGGCAAAAGAGAGUGAGAUUGCCACAACAGGUUUCCAUAGACUGCUGUAGAGAGAGAGUGAGAGGGAGACGGAGAGAUGAGAAAAUAGAGAGAAUUGAAGAUCAGAUAAUGAAAGAACGGUGACCAGUGAAUGAAGAGAAGAGAGAGAAGAUAAAUAAUAACAGAAAAAAUAUGCAAAACAAGACUAAGACAAAAAACGACAUUGUAGAGACGGAGAGACAGAGAGACAGACAGAGAGAGAGAGAGAGAGAGAGAGAGAGAGAGAGAGAGAGGAGCCAGAGCACGUUGUUCGGAGUGUUCUGAGCAGACACUGUCUGGACCAUGUGCACAGAGAAAAGACUGGUGUCAAGGAAAAGGGCUGCCACUGAGAGAGAGAAAGAAGAAGAAGAGAGAGAGAUAUAUAUGCCAGGGGGUCUGGGAAUCAAACACAGUAUGAAGCUGCCUGGACCGGAUGAUGGCGCUGCUAUACAGACUGGCUGCACCUUGCAGAAAAACUCCCUCUUUGUAGAUGAAUGAGUGGCCCAGUCAGGAUUACUUACUGCAGGGGUCUUAACCCGCCAACCAGCAGUACUACAUCUCAGAGGCUAAAAACAGACACGGAGACACACUUAACAAGGCCUCAUUACACUGCUCAAAAAAAUAAAGGGAACACUUAAACAACACAAUGUAACUCAAAGUCAAUCACACUUCUGUGAAA